CGGUGGAUGAUGUGGAUUAAUUCGAUGCAACGACGAAAACCUUACCUACCCUUGACAUGUCCGGAAUCCUGCAGAGAUGCGGGAGUGACCGAAAGGGAAUCGGAACACAGGUGCUGCAUGGCUGUCGUCAGCUCGUGUCGUGAGAUGUUGGGUUAAGUCCCGCAACGAGCGCAACCCUUAUCAUUAGUUGCUACGCAAGGGCACUCUAAUGAGACUGCCGGUGACAAACCGGAGGAAGGUGGGGAUGACGUCAAGUCCUCAUGGCCCUUAUGGGUAGGGCUUCACACGUCAUACAAUGGUCGGUACAGAGGGUUGCCAAGCCGCGAGGUGGAGCCAAUCCCAGAAAGCCGAUCGUAGUCCGGAUUGUUCUCUGCAACUCGAGAGCAUGAAGUCGGAAUCGCUAGUAAUCGCGGAUCAGCAUGUCGCGGUGAAUACGUUCCCGGGUCUU
RNAcentral lists this ribosomal RNA (448 nucleotides) under uncultured Thiobacillus sp. RNAcentral describes it as "bacterial SSU rRNA". It matches the Rfam family "Bacterial small subunit ribosomal RNA", at positions 930 to 1382 of the family's 1533-position model. The record is from RNAcentral. Lineage: Bacteria; Pseudomonadati; Pseudomonadota; Betaproteobacteria; Nitrosomonadales; Thiobacillaceae.